RNAcentral lists this ribosomal RNA (196 nucleotides) under uncultured bacterium. RNAcentral describes it as "partial 16S ribosomal RNA". It matches the Rfam family "Bacterial small subunit ribosomal RNA", at positions 1307 to 1500 of the family's 1533-position model. The record is from RNAcentral.
GAAACUCGCCUACAUGAAGCUGGAGUUACUAGUAAUCGCAGAUCAGAAUGCUGCGGUGAAUGCGUUCCCGGGUCUUGUACACACCGCCCGUCACACCACGGAAGUUGGGGGCGCCCGAAGCCACUUAGCUAACCCUUUUGGGAAGCGAGUGUCGAAGGUGAAAUCAAUAACUGGGGUGAAGUCGUAACAAGGUACC